GACGAACGCCGGCGGCGUGCUUAACACAUGCAAGUCGAACGGUAAGGCCCUUCGGGGUACACGAGUGGCGAACGGGUGAGUAACACGUGGGUGAUCUGCCCUGCACUUCGGGAUAAGCCUGGGAAACUGGGCCUAAUACCGGAUAGGACCACUGCCUGCAUGGGUGGUGGUGGAAAGCUUUUGCGGUGUGGGAUGGGCCCGCGGGCUAUCAGCUUGUUGGUGGGGUGAUGGCCUACCAAGGCGACGACGGGGAGCCGGCCUGAGAGGGUGAGCGGCCACACUGGGACUGAGAUACGGCCCAGACUCCUACGGGAGGCAGCAGCGGGGAAUAUUGCACAAUGGGCGCAAGCCUGAUGCAGCGACGCCGCGUGAGGGAUGACGGCCUUCGGGUUGUAAACCUCUUUCAGCACCGACGAAGCGCAAGUGACGGUAGGUGCAGAAGAAGGACCGGCCAACUACGUGCCAGCCGCCGCCGUAA
Molecule: ribosomal RNA, 478 nt
Filed under: uncultured bacterium
Lineage: Bacteria
Description: partial 16S ribosomal RNA
Rfam family: Bacterial small subunit ribosomal RNA
Source: RNAcentral